GUUGAUCGAAACGGCAUUAUGCGGAGGAUGAGUGUUUACUUAUAAUUAGCUUGCUGAUAAAAAAAUGGCUUUUCUCCUUGUUUUGUCAAAGCAAACAUCCUCUUCAGAUUUCUUUACUUCAGUGAAAACAAGUGCCAGUGGCUGACUGCUGGAUGACCUGUAAUAGUAAAAGUUGCGGAGGAGACCCCAACUGGCUCAAGAGAUUUUCACCUAUUGUUGCUCUUUCACAUUUCAUAUAUUCUGUUAGAGAAACACAGUAUCGGCGUACUCGCUGCGCUUCAAAGUCUCCACAAAGUCGAGGGCGGGAGAGACGGAGACGAGAUUCCCUGCGAGAGGCGACGGCAUCGCAAAACAUGUUCCACGCGAGUUGAAACCGAGGUCUUCGCUCAUUAAUGCUUAAUGCUUUAUCCCUCAGCGUUUGGCUCAGCCUGCAAGUCCCUGAUUACCUGCGGACAGAUCUAGAUUUCACCGCGUUGCUGCUGGUGCAUGAUUUCAAGUGAUCACAACGACUGAGUCGCCUGCUCUCUGUCCAACUGAAUAAUUGACGACGUACAGAAUAGCUACACGGCAGAUUUCAUGUCUGAAAGUUGGGAUGCUGCAGGAAGGAGUGCGGCCAGAAAACUCCAGCGGAGGAUAUUAUCGGCUGUUUCCAUGGGAAUGUUUGAUCAGAAAUGAAGCAACUACAAUUUGUUACUAUCUUAACAACAAAGGAGAGGCCCCCUGCUGGCACUGUGGAGAGCAGAACAGACCGGCAGAAUGUAUGAGGGCUCAGUGCAGUAUCUCCCCGUAACAGCAAGAUAAAAACGUGACAGAAUGAAAUCCCCGGCACACACGACU
Molecule: long non-coding RNA, 837 nt
Organism: Paramormyrops kingsleyae
Lineage: Eukaryota; Metazoa; Chordata; Actinopteri; Osteoglossiformes; Mormyridae
Source: RefSeq, a predicted model, not a curated record